UGCAUAUUUAAGUAAGGUACUAUGUGAAUUCUUGACAUACAAGCAACAUAGGCUAACAAGUCCUAAUAAGUUGCUUCUACCAUUUUCACUCUGUUCCAAAUUCAUUUCUCAGCCAUGGAUAUUGUUUCGGACAUUCGAAACAUGCUAUUUCGUACGGUUCAAAAUGUCGCUUUGCGCAUUGCCAUGGUGCAAACUUUUCAAUUUCGUUCAAGGAUGUUGGUCUGCGCAUCCAUUCCACAAUCUGGUGACUCGUGACGAAAAAGACAUCAUCCAAUUGAACAGGAAAAAUCCUUACCCUCAAAAUAUGCCAUUUAGUAUGACUUUUAAAAGCAGAAUUAAUAAUGAACAUAAUAUUUUACUUACAUUAAAUACAUAAAAGUACAUUGGAUUAUGAAACCAUGAUGCAUGAAAAUGUAAGCCGAGAGGUGCGCGAUUGGUAAGAUAAUGCCUAUUGAAGUUCAGCAUAAGCAUCUUAUAAACUUCUUCGCCAGAUAAGUCAGAGGGGCAUGAGUCCACAGUACUACAUGUGUAAUCCUAAACAAAAAUUUAAUGAACGUUUUUGUAUUGUUUUAAAAGGAAGAGAAAAAGGAAGAGACCGUAAUAAUCUGAUAAAUGAACGAAAAUAUAAGAAAACAUUUAUUAUCAAUUAGGGGAGAGUAUUUUAAUUUUUUAUAUUUUCGAUCAUGAAAAAUAUAAUAUGAAAAAUAUAAAUAAUUUACAGAUAUUAAGAUGAAAAAAAUUCAAUAAUAUCGAUUAUAAGAACUUUUAGUCAUCUGAUUUUUCUACACGAUGCAGCAAGAUCAAAUUUAUAUUGUCAUAUAUUACAAUAUUUUGCAAUUAACAAUCAAAAAGGUCUCAACCCUCUGUUUUCUAUUUUUAUCUUUUCCUUUUUCUUGAUGUUCUAAAAAAUUUCAACUCGGUCGCAUAUGAUUCACAUACAUUUGCCAAAAGUUGAUUUAGAGGUAGUUCCCAGAUAUUUGGAUAAGAACGGGUAGGGCAGAGCUGCCCUGCAUGAACGCACGGAUGCGGCGGCCUGUAGUCGAGCGUGUAAGGCCAAAAAGGUGGAUCGGAGAAAGGUGCGACGAUCGAGGAAUCGUAAACGAAACCAAACUCAGACAUCAUCAGAAACUGGCGAUUCCAUCCAACUUGUAGAAAAGGCGCCCUUAUUCCUACGACAAAUAUAUACUGUUUUAUAAUAAAUAUUCAAUGUUUUCUUGACAUUUUUCUCAGAACUUUAUACGAAUACUUUACAGAAAUACUAAGAAAGUUUUCCUCUUUCCUAGACUUUUUUUACAUAUGUAUAUGAAUUUUGAAAUAUUCUAAGUUUCUAAGAUUUCUUAUCCUAUAUAAUUUCUAAAAAAAUAUUUUAAACUUUCAGAUUUUAUAAAAUUUUUUUAGACAUUACAUAAUAAUAAAAUGAGAGAAAUCUUAGAAGUCUUAUGAUAUUUUAAAAUUUAUACGUGGAGAAUUCUAGAAAAGAUAUGUUGACUUUCUCAAUAUUUCAGAAAAAUAUUUCUAUUUGUAUAAAAAAUUUGUAGAAUUUUCUGAAAAGUAAAAAUAAAAUUAUGCAGAAGUUCUGAAAAAUUCUGAAAUUUGCAUAAAAAUUCUGAAAAAUUCCGAGGAAAAUUUUCAGAAAGGGUCUUUUUUUAUAAUUUUAAUAUUGUAAUGAACUGAAAAUGAGAUUUUUACCUCUAAUAUCGCUGGUGCGGACUGCUGCAUAUUUCUUGAUGAUGUUCGCUAUUCCAACCAUUUCGUCGAACCAGUCUUCAAUCGUCGCAUUUUUCGACCACCAUUCUUCCGGUCCACGAUGUCUAAAAAACAAUUUUCGAUUUAUUUUAUUGAAUUAAAUAAUUCUUAAUGAUCUU
Long non-coding RNA from Solenopsis invicta (red fire ant), 1865 nucleotides. RefSeq lists it as uncharacterized. Lineage: Eukaryota; Metazoa; Arthropoda; Insecta; Hymenoptera; Formicidae. The transcript is spliced from 4 exons. The record is from RefSeq and is a predicted model, not a curated record.